GACGAACGCUGGCGGCGUGCUUAACACAUGCAAGUCGAACGCUGAAGCACCAGCUUGCUGGUGUGGAUGAGUGGCGAACGGGUGAGUAAUACGUGAGUAACCUGCCCUUGACUCUGGGAUAAGCCCGGGAAACUGGGUCUAAUACUGGAUGCUACAUGUCACCGCAUGGUGGUGUGUGGAAAGGGUUUACUGGUCUUGGAUGGGCUCACGGCCUAUCAGCUUGUUGGUGAGGUAAUGGCUCACCAAGGCGACGACGGGUAGCCGGCCUGAGAGGGUGACCGGCCGCACUGGGACUGAGACACGGCCCAGACGCCUACGGGAGGCAGCAGUGGGGAAUAUUGCACAAGGGGCGAAAGCCUGAUGCAGCGACGCCGCGUGAGGGAUGACGGCCUUCGGGUUGUAAACCUCUUUCAGCAGGGAAGAAGCCACAAGUGACGGUACCUGCAGAAGAAGCGCCGGCUAACUACGUG
This 470-nucleotide ribosomal RNA is filed under the name uncultured bacterium. RNAcentral describes it as "partial 16S ribosomal RNA". It matches the Rfam family "Bacterial small subunit ribosomal RNA", at positions 28 to 507 of the family's 1533-position model. The record is from RNAcentral.